RNAcentral lists this long non-coding RNA (1308 nucleotides) under Vulpes vulpes (red fox). RNAcentral's name for it is "lncRNA (ENSVVUG00000021243.1)". Lineage: Eukaryota; Metazoa; Chordata; Mammalia; Carnivora; Canidae. The record is from RNAcentral.
UCUCUUUGUUUCAUAUAUGAGAAAACUGGCUCAGAGAGAUUUUGUAGCUCCAAGGUCACAAGGAGUAUAAGGGAUGGAGCAAAGUUUCAGACUCUGAUUCACCUGUUCUAAAGCUUGCAUUUCUUUUAUUAUGUUAUGCUAUAGGGGCUCUGAGGAGGUCAUAUGAGACAAUGGAUGUGAAAGCCACCUAACACUUCCUGGUACAUUAAACACCCAGUAAAAGUUAGCUCUGCAAGUGCUUGGCAAAUUGUAGAGAAAUGUUUGUUAUUAUUGUCAGUACCUUGUUCUGAUGCUGGCAGAGGAGCGUGUUCUUAAUGGGAGGAUGUGCCCUGUAGGAGGCUGAGCUAUUAAUAGCCAAUAGUGAUGUUUACUGCACUUCCUUAUGAGACUUUAGUUCAGAAAGUUCUGAACUAGAAAAAACUUCUCUAAAUUGCUUAAUCACAAAAUGAUGAGACCACAUUCCUCCUGAAUUAUCUCCUAAAGACAUGACUUCUGUGGCGAUCAAGGAGCUGGACAGGCAAAUUGCUUUUUGAAAUAUUUGUUUUUGAUUGAGAAAAUAAACAACUAUAUAAAGGACACUGCGACAAACAUCAUGUACUCACCACCUAAGGUUCCUUUGUGAGAGGAAUACACUGACUUUGGAGUUGCCCAAGUGGCUUGCUAUCACAUACAAAGAGGAGAGAAGCCAUGGUAUGUGAGGUCCAAGAAAAUGCCUUCAGCCAUCUUGCACUUCUGCUCUCCACAAUGAGAAGAUUGUGCCUGUGGUAGGCAUUGUUUUUCCCGAAUCCUGGAUACAGAGACUCAUGGAGUAGAUUGGAACCCAAACUGUAAACUGGCGUGAAGAGCAACUCAAUUGGCCAGGUAUAGAAAUGGAUCACCACUCAGCCCUGUGCAUUGGAAAAACUGGUGGUGCAUUGACAAAGAAUUAUGUUACAGUUUAAGAAGAACUCCAAUAAAAAGAAAAUUGAAAAAAAAAAAAAAGAAGGACCCUUUUGGUUUCUUUAGAAUCAGAUCUGGACCUCCAGCUAAGUCAGGGAUAGAAGGAAUUUUAGAGGAUACCAAACAAAUCCAAACUCUGAUGGAACCAUCUCAACACCGAGGAAAGGCAUUGCCCCUUCAGCCUAGAAAGAGGGCAAGUUCAAAUUGUGAUUUAUGCAGUUGGUCACGGAGAACGAUGGCUCAUCACUUUGCUAUCACCAUUAAUGGUGGCUGAUGCUGACUUCCUCCCUUACCUUUUGAUCUACUCCUCUCUCUAUGUAUGUAUCUUUGCAAACCCUGAAAUAAAUGAAUUCCUAAGGAAAACGGGCA